AUGAAGCCCUUAGGCACAUCGCCCUCUUCUGGCCUGCACCUUGCUCCAUUGCUAAUUGUCCUAUUGAUGCACCGGCCGCAUCUGCUUGUAGUCGUAGCGGACAACCUCACGGCCGGAUCGUCUCUCAGGCCCCCUCAGUACAUCACCUGCCCCUCCGGUGACUUCGCCUUCGGCUUUCGUGCCCUCGACUAUGACCCCAGUCACUUCCUCCUCGCCGUCUGGUUCAACCUCAACCUUGACCUGGCAGCCGACCCCAGGCAGAAGAAGGUGGUGUGGUACGCGAAAGACCCGGUCUCAGACUCGGCAAUCAUGGCCACGGGGCAGGCCGUGUUCAGCAUCACCCCCCAUGGUGAGCUCUUGCUCACAGACUCCACCACCGGCGGCAACAUCUGGACGAACCCGAGCCCUGGCCAGUCUGGGAACGUCCUGACGCUACAGGACUCGGGCAACCUCCAGUUCAUCGCCAUCGGGGGGAGCGCCGUCGUCUGGGAGACCUUUGGGCACCCGACCGACACGCUCCUCCCGGGUCAGACAAUGGCCUCCGGAGCAAAACUUCAGUCUAAGCAAUCGGACACGGACUUCUCCGCUGGCCGCUUCAGCUUGUAUGUGCAGGCUAACGGCAAUAUCGUCUUGUACCUCAUGAACCUCGCCGGUGACAACAUGGACUCGUACAAUUCAUACUGGCGCACCGGCACCGACCAGCCCGGGCAAACCCAGGACGGCAACACCACCCUUUUCUUCGACUCGCCGGGUCACCUCCACUACCAGAUCAAGGAUGGCACGAUGCACGAUCUGACACCUCCCGUGCCGAACUCCGCCGUUAGUUACUACCAGCAUGCAACGCUUGAUCCGGAUGGCAUUGUUCGUGUCUACAUCCUGCAGAAGAAUGCCACCGGAAGGCGCAACGUGCCAUGGACGAUCUUUGGGCUGUUCCCAAGCAAUGGUUGCAACAGCAGCACUACAGGCUGGGAAGGAAUGUGCGGCCCCAACUCGUACUGUGUUUAUGGUCCUAACAACAAGCUCGAUUGUGAGUGCCCAAGUGGUUACUCCUUCAUCGAUCCUAGGCUCAAGUACAGAGGCUGCACACCAGUGUUCGUGCCACAGAGCUGCGAUGGGAAGAACCGGCCCUCCGAAUUCAGUCUUCUUAAAUUGCCAAACACCACUUGGUCGCUGUCAUCAUACAGAGGGUAUUCGUACACCACAGAGGAGCAGUGCGACAACUCAUGCUUGCGAGACUGCUUCUGCACCGCCACUCUGUUCGAUGGAAAAGUUUGUUACAAAAUGGCAUUAUUGGCGGGCGCAGGAUGGCAGGAGGGAAGCCUCAACAUGAAGGCAUCGAUCAAGGUGCGGACAAGCAGCCUCCCGAUGCCGACAUCACCGAGAAGACCAUUGCCUUAUUUACUGCUGAUUUGCUCGGUGCUAUUGAUGCUGGCUGCAGCAAGUAGUCUCAUGCUACAGGGUUGCCUUUGGAAGAAGAACACUAACCAUGAUUUCCUGAGGGUUUUCACCGGGAAGGAGCUUUACAAAGCCACCAAUGGCUUUCACAAGUUGUUGGGCAAAGGAGGCUUUGGAGAGGUCUACCAUGGGGUGAUAAUGUCGCCACACACCUCUGAUGUAGCAGUGAAGAAGCUCAUCAACUCCAACGAGUACAGCGAGAGGGAGUUCACGAAUGAGGUGCAGUCCAUCGGCAGGAUUCAUCAUCGGAAUCUAGUCCGCAUGGUUGGUUACUGCAAGGAGCGGGAGCAAAGGAUGCUUGUGUUCGAGUUCAUGCCAGGUGGCUCCCUUCGAAGCUUCCUCUUCCAGCCUCAACGGCCGUUGUGGACGUGGCGUGUAGAGGCAGCAAUUGGGAUUGCCAAAGGGCUAGAGUAUUUACAUGAAGGCUGUGAUUAUCCGAUCAUUCAUUGCGACAUCAAGCCCGACAAUAUACUUCUAGAUGGCAAGAGCAAUCCAAAGAUAACUGACUUUGGGAUCGCCGAGCUUCUCAACAACCAGCAGAUGCACACCACAGUGACCAAUAUCAGAGGUACAAGGGGCUAUAUUGCCCCUGAGUGGUUCCAAAAUGAUAGGCGCAUCGAUACCAAAGUUGAUGUUUACAGCUUCGGUGUUGUGCUACUGGAGAUGAUAUGCUGCCGGAAGUGCCAGGAUCCGGUGACCGGGCAGGAUGGUGAUGACUCGGUCACGCUAUUCUGGUGGGCCGGUCAGUUGGUCUGUCAUGGAAGGAUUGAGGUGUUGUUGCAUGGUGACGACGACGCCAUGGAGGACUUGGUCAGAGUGGAGAGAUUCUCGCGUGUGGCGUUCUGGUGCAUUGAGCCGAAUCCUUUGCUGCGACCAACAAUGCACCAGGUUGUGCAGAUGUUGGAGGGUGUGGUUGAGGUUGGCCUCCUACCUGAUCCUCCAAGCUCCACAGAUUCACCACCCUUAAUCUCUUCAGUUGACCGGAGUGCUUCGCUGUCAAGUGAUACUCCUCUUACUCCUCUUCAGGUGGAGUGA
Molecule: ribosomal RNA, 2490 nt
Filed under: Triticum aestivum (bread wheat)
Lineage: Eukaryota; Viridiplantae; Streptophyta; Magnoliopsida; Poales; Poaceae
Description: partial small subunit ribosomal RNA
Source: RNAcentral